GCCCUUGAAAGAUAGUAGUAAUCUAUUGGUCUUAGGAACCAAAAACCCUUGGUGCAACUCCAAGCAAGAGUU
RNAcentral lists this transfer RNA (72 nucleotides) under Hemigaleus microstoma (sicklefin weasel shark). Its description in RNAcentral is "tRNA-Leu". It matches the Rfam family "tRNA". Rfam says of the family: Transfer RNA (tRNA) molecules are approximately 80 nucleotides in length. Their secondary structure includes four short double-helical elements and three loops (D, anti-codon, and T loops). The record is from RNAcentral. Lineage: Eukaryota; Metazoa; Chordata; Chondrichthyes; Carcharhiniformes; Hemigaleidae.